Molecule: ribosomal RNA, 305 nt
Filed under: uncultured bacterium
Lineage: Bacteria
Description: bacterial SSU rRNA
Rfam family: Bacterial small subunit ribosomal RNA
Source: RNAcentral
UCCUACGGGAGGCAGCAGUGAGGAAUAUUGGUCAAUGGGCUUACGCCUGAACCAGCCAAGUCGCGUGAGGGAAGACUGCCCUAUGGGUUGUAAACCUCUUUUGUCAGGGAGCAACGCCGGCUACGUGUAGCCGGACUGAGAGUACCUGAAGAAAAAGCAUCGGCUAACUCCGUGCCAGCAGCCGCGGUAAUACGGAGGAUGCGAGCGUUAUCCGGAUUUAUUGGGUUUAAAGGGUGCGUAGGCGGAAUGCCAAGUCAGCGGUAAAAUAGCGGGGCUCAACCUCGCCCCGCCGUUGAAACUGGCGU